RNAcentral lists this transfer RNA (69 nucleotides) under Trimma caesiura (Caesiura dwarfgoby). RNAcentral describes it as "tRNA-Phe". It matches the Rfam family "tRNA". Rfam says of the family: Transfer RNA (tRNA) molecules are approximately 80 nucleotides in length. The record is from RNAcentral. Lineage: Eukaryota; Metazoa; Chordata; Actinopteri; Gobiiformes; Gobiidae.
GUUUGCGUAGCUUAAAAUAAAGCAUGACACUGAAGAUGUUAGGAUAAGCCCUAGAAAGCUUCACGAACA